Long non-coding RNA from Folsomia candida, 950 nucleotides. RefSeq lists it as uncharacterized. Lineage: Eukaryota; Metazoa; Arthropoda; Collembola; Entomobryomorpha; Isotomidae. The transcript is spliced from 2 exons. The record is from RefSeq and is a predicted model, not a curated record.
GUUGAUGAGAGGGUUGAUACCAUAAGUUUUGCUCAUAUAACCCAUGAUUAAAUCCGCAUUAACAACUUUGCUAUUCAAGAACAACUAUCAACUAAUAAUUAGUAAUUGAAAUGUUAUCAAUUAUUUGUUUUGAAAUUACUUAUGAUAAUAUUGCACUGUUAGAUAUUUUAACCAGUACCUAUUAAAUAGCUACCUACACCAUAAUGCAAGUUCGUAUAUUUUAAGAAUUAAUUGUAAAGCUCACGAUUCAUUGACUCAAUUUUUUACAAUUUCGCAUAAAUAUGUACAUAUGUAUGAAUAAAUACAUUGAGCAAGGAUUUGUUACUGUUGGGUGUGGCGGAAGGUAUGCUUCAAAUAUAAGUGGAAAACCUUGUGAUGUCGUAAAACUAAAAAUCAUGAAACAACAAUUUCAAGUGUUUGAAUCUAGGAACUUGUGACCUUAGCUGCUGCAGUUUAUGACAGCUAAUAAUACGUCGAAUUAUUUUUAGCUGCAAAUCAAAGUCUUUGUAAAAUUGUGCGAUAUAUAUUUGUAUGUAAUGUAGGUAGGUAUGCCUGUAAAGCGUUCAUCUACAUAUGAGUGAUUAAUGAUUUUCCUGCAUUGUUCUGAAUUAAUCGAAUGGAUCGAGUUUUAUAAGUUUUAUUCAAAUGACGAAUCAAAUUGCGUACAACUCUAUCAGAUUUAUAAAGUCCAAAUAUAGUAUUAUUUAGUGAAAAAUUAAGAGUUUGACCUUGCAGCGUACGAAGAAAUUAAAGGGAAGCUAAUGAGGAGAGGACAACCACAUUCAGCAUUCGGCAACAAACAAAUGCAGAGAAAUAUGUAUACAAAGACACGUUGAAUUAUGGAGGGGAAUAGCUAAUGUCAUAAUAAUGCUUAUCAAAGGAAUGAUUAUGUUGAAGACUCUAUUCAGCAUAAAAAUAAACGAGUUAGUUGCGACUAAUUACGAUUAAAA